CUACCAGGGUAUCUAAUCCUGUUUGCUCCCCACGCUUUCGUGCAUCAGCGUCAGUUGUAGCGUAGAUGACCGCCUUCGCCACCGGUGUUCCUCCUAAUAUCUAAGAAUUUCACCUCUACACUAGGAAUUCCAUCAUCCCCUACUACACUCUAGAUUAGUAGUUUUGAAAGCAUUUCCGAGGUUAAGCCUCGGGCUUUCACUUCCAACUUACUAAACCGCCUACGCACUCUUUACGCCCAGUAAUUCCGAACAACGCUAGCCCCCUCCGUCUUACCGCGGCUGCUGGCAC
RNAcentral lists this ribosomal RNA (289 nucleotides) under uncultured Rickettsia sp. Its description in RNAcentral is "partial 16S ribosomal RNA". Lineage: Bacteria; Pseudomonadati; Pseudomonadota; Alphaproteobacteria; Rickettsiales; Rickettsiaceae. The record is from RNAcentral.